This 385-nucleotide unclassified non-coding RNA is filed under the name Hevea brasiliensis (rubber tree). The record is from RNAcentral. Lineage: Eukaryota; Viridiplantae; Streptophyta; Magnoliopsida; Malpighiales; Euphorbiaceae.
AUUUUUUUUUUAAGUUAAAGGAAUUAAUUAGACCUCAAAACAUUUCAAAGACUUAUGUAACUAUUUGGCAUAAUUUUAAGAGUCAAAACAAACCUUUUGUUUUUUUUCUUUUUGUUAUAGAUUGUUGGUUAAGCGAAAGACCCAGAAGACUAAAUAGAAGAUAAAUUAGAGGAGUGUUUGUGUGGGCUUGGGCCUAUGGUAAUUGUGAGACUUUUGUAAGGCUGCUGAUGGGAUACCAAAGGUUCUCAUAAGUUUGUAGUUACAUAUUUAUUUUUAAAAUUUCUAAAAAUGUAAUAGAUGAGAUAUGUGUUGAAAUUUUAAAAUAAAAUGAAAUUAUUUUUUUUUAAAUAUUAGGUUAAAUUAAUUUAUAAGUGUAGUGUUUAUA